GAUACCCCUGUAGUCCUGGCCGUAAACGAUGAACACUAGGUGUCGGGGGAAUCGACCCCCUCGGUGUCGUAGCCAACGCGUUAAGUGUUCCGCCUGGGGAGUACGCACGCAAGUGUGAAACUCAAAGGAAUUGACGGGGGCCCGCACAAGCGGUGGAGUAUGUGGUUUAAUUCGAUGCAACGCGAAGAACCUUACCAGGGUUUGACAUCCUGCGAAUCCCUUGGAAACUUGGGAGUGCCUUCGGGAGCGCAGUGACAGGUGGUGCAUGGCUGUCGUCAGCUCGUGUCGUGAGAUGUUGGGUUAAGUCCCGCAACGAGCGCAACCCACGUCUUUAGUUGCCAGCAUUUAGUUGGGCACUCUAGAGAGACUGCCGGUGAUAAACCGGAGGAAGGUGUGGAUGACGUCAAGUCAUCAUGCCCCUUACAUCCUGGGCUACACACGUACUACAAUGCUACGGACAAAGGGCAGCAAACUCGCGAGAGCUAGCAAAUCCCAUAAACCGUGGCUCAGUUCAGGUCGUAGGCUGCAACUCGCCUACGUGAAGGAGGAAUCGCUAGUAAUCGCAGGUCAGCAUACUGCGGUGAAUACGUUCCCGGGCCUUGUACACACCGCCCGUCACACCAUGGAAGUUGGCCACGCCCGAAGUCGUUACUCCAACCCUUGUGGAGGAGGAUGCCGAAGGUGGGGCUGAUGACUGGGGUGAAGUCGUAACAAGGUAGCCGUACCGGAAGGUGC
RNAcentral lists this ribosomal RNA (735 nucleotides) under uncultured Synechococcus sp. RNAcentral describes it as "bacterial SSU rRNA". It matches the Rfam family "Bacterial small subunit ribosomal RNA", at positions 781 to 1515 of the family's 1533-position model. The record is from RNAcentral. Lineage: Bacteria; Bacillati; Cyanobacteriota; Cyanophyceae; Synechococcales; Synechococcaceae.